UGGCUCAGAUUGAACGCUGGCGGCAGGCCUAACACAUGCAAGUCGAGCGGGGUUUUCGGACCUAGCGGCGGACGGGUGAGUAAUGCGUAGGAAGCUGCCCGAUAGAGGGGGAUACCAGUUGGAAACGACUGUUAAUACCGCAUAAUGUCUACGGACCAAAGUGUGGGACCUUCGGGCCACAUGCUAUCGGAUGCGCCUACGUGGGAUUAGCUAGUUGGUGAGGUAAUGGCUCACCAAGGCGACGAUCUCUAGCUGGUUUGAGAGGAUGAUCAGCCACACUGGAACUGAGACACGGUCCAGACUCCUACGGGAGGCAGCAGUGGGGAAUCUUGGACAAUGGGCGCAAGCCUGAUCCAGCCAUGCCGCGUGUGUGAAGAAGGCCUUCGGGUUGUAAAGCACUUUCGCCGAGAAGAAAUGCGGACCGAGAG
RNAcentral lists this ribosomal RNA (428 nucleotides) under uncultured Rheinheimera sp. RNAcentral's name for it is "bacterial SSU rRNA". It matches the Rfam family "Bacterial small subunit ribosomal RNA", at positions 20 to 471 of the family's 1533-position model. The record is from RNAcentral. Lineage: Bacteria; Pseudomonadati; Pseudomonadota; Gammaproteobacteria; Chromatiales; Chromatiaceae.